ACUUCUUUCACUUCGUUUAUAACAGGGGGAGCAAGAAGUUUGGAAUUGUCUUCUCAAAGAGGCCAUUCAUGCCUGUGAAGAAAAAGUCUCUUCUAGAUUGGAAUUGUUCUUCAAAGUAUUGAAUAAAGGUCACAAAAGGAACAUCGAUGAUGGCAAUGCCCCACACGGCCACAAAGAAAGCAGAUUCCAAGCAAGCUUUUAUAUCUGUAAAUGGGCUAGGUAGUGGAACUAACAAAAUAGCCAGCUUUUAAAGGCCUUUCCAUGUCUAUGAUAACCUUUAGACGAAAGUAUUUUACAUGGAUGGGUUUUAAUAGAUUUACAUGUCAAAAAGGAGGCACCAAUUUGCUGGGUUCUCUCUAUGUUGGUCAUUUCAAAAGGCAGAUUAUGUACUUGAGGGUAGACUUCAGUUCUGGUAAUAAUGGAAGUGCACUGGUCUCUACCUUCACUCCAUUUUGCAAACAUGAGCCAUUGGUAAAACACAUACCAAGGACCAUUGUUCCUAACAUUGUCAUAGUCAUUUUGAUAUUAGGUCUGAAGGCCUUGACUAAGAGGCUGGACAAGAAGACUAUUUUCAUUGACCCCCCCAACUAUCAUGACUUAUAAGUGGGAUGUUUGGAAUCGUGGCCGUUUUUCAAAAAACGGUACCACAUCAGAUCCACAUAAGCGUUUCAACAAAUGCCCAUGUAUCUCAUUAUUUGGUUCAGUCAAUUAUCAAAAAAUUGGACAUGCCGAAAAUCGGGGGACCACCAAUGCAUGAAACGCCAAAUUUAGCUUUUCAUGCAUCGGUGAACCGUUGCUCCCAACGGUUAACUGAACUAGCAAAAAGUGGCUCCUACAUGGCACUUAUGUGUAAUCUGAGUUGGCAUUAGUGGUUAUGUUCCAGUGCUUCUCGGCCCAUCGGAACAUUAACCCAAUAAAUGGUAGGGUUAGACAGUCCUCUUCUUUCUUCUUGCCGCCGAACAUCCCAAAGCCUCUGUAACCUCUGGCUCACCGAAAGUAUCUUCGUUACUACCGUCGCCGGAAGAGGUUGGUUGUCGCCUGAGGAAUUUGGUCGUAGCCGGAAGAGAUGGUUAUGAAAAUGACUCAGUUGAUGACGGUUCAAGUGGCGAUGAUGAUGAUGAAAAGCACACUGCAUCUGCACUAGGUUCGAGCAGAGAGAUGGACAUGGUUAGAAACCGAAUUUCUUCUGAGCUAUGGAAGAAGUACCAAAGAUCUACCCAGUGGGAUACAUAGAUUUGUGGCUUAUAUCGAAACAUGUGAAACAUGAUGUUAUGUUUCUGACGAAGAAAAUGUUGGAAUUCAAACUGUGAUGAGUUUUAUGUUUGUUAUGGAUUAAGCUUCUUUAUUGCUUUAUAUAUUUUAAACUGUGAUAAGUUUAUGUAUUUUUAUGCUCA
Nelumbo nucifera (sacred lotus) is the source of this 1394-nucleotide non-coding RNA. NCBI's taxonomy places the organism in Eukaryota, Viridiplantae, Streptophyta, Magnoliopsida, Proteales, Nelumbonaceae. The record is from RefSeq and is a predicted model, not a curated record.